Molecule: ribosomal RNA, 489 nt
Filed under: Faxonius virilis species complex clade 1
Lineage: Eukaryota; Metazoa; Arthropoda; Malacostraca; Decapoda; Cambaridae
Description: Orconectes virilis species complex clade 1 partial 16S ribosomal RNA
Rfam family: Archaeal large subunit ribosomal RNA
Source: RNAcentral
UCUGACCUGCCCAUCGGAAAACUGAAAGGCCGCGGUAUUAUGACCGUGCAAAGGUAGCAUAAUCAUUAGUUUUUUAAUUGAAGGCUAGAAUGAAUGGUUGGACAAGAAAUAAUCUGUCUUAAAUUAAUAUAUUGAAUUUAACUUUUAAGUGAAAAGGCUUAAAUGAUCUAAGGGGACGAUAAGACCCUAUAAAACUUUAUAUUUUAAGGUGGAAAAUAAUUUUAUUUUAAAAUUACUAUUUUAAAUUAUUUUGUUGGGGCGACAAGGAUAUAAGAAAGGAUAACUGUCUUUUAUUUUUACAAUAAUAUUUGAAUUAUUGAUCCUAAAAGGGAUUAAAGAUUAAGUUACUUUAGGGAUAACAGCGUAAUUUUCUUUGAGAGUUCUUAUCGACAAGAAAGUUUGCGACCUCGAUGUUGAAUUAAAGGUUCUUUAUAGAGUAGAGACUAUAAGAGAAGGUCUGUUCGACCUUUAAAAUUUUACAUGAUUUGA